UUUAAUUCGAUGCAAAGCAAAAAACCUUAUCAAGACUUGACAUGCCAAGAAUCCUCUAGAGAGAGAGGGAUGCCUUCAAGAACAUGGAUACAGGUGGUGCAUGGUUGUUAUGAGUUCGAAGGAAGGUGAGGAUUAUAUCAAGUCAUCAUGCCCCUUAUGCCCAACUA
This 167-nucleotide non-coding RNA is filed under the name Populus trichocarpa (black cottonwood). RNAcentral's name for it is "Bacterial small subunit ribosomal RNA". It matches the Rfam family "Bacterial small subunit ribosomal RNA", at positions 945 to 1216 of the family's 1533-position model. Lineage: Eukaryota; Viridiplantae; Streptophyta; Magnoliopsida; Malpighiales; Salicaceae. The record is from Rfam by way of RNAcentral.